GGGUCUCCAGUUGUCUAUAUAAAGAGUAUCCUUAUUAGGUUUGGGAAUCAAAGUAAUUACACCUUGCUUUAAGGAAGCCGAUAACUCAUCAUCACAAAAAUCCCUGAAAUCAUUAUCUAUCUUCUUAGCAAUGUUUGCAACACGUCAUGCUCUAUCAACUGAGCUACGAAGGAGCACGUCGACGUCACUAGAAUGAUGACAAGCAAUUUUAACACCUGAGAACAAUCGACUGGAAAAUGCCUGGGUGCUUUUCAAGACUGGCGGAGAGAGUGCGUGGACGUCGGCGGCCUAAUGCUUCGACAGGUUGUUCAAAUUCAUUUGUGGCUUGUUUUUCUUGUCUUUUUCUGUUUUGCAGCGA
Long non-coding RNA from Oncorhynchus tshawytscha (Chinook salmon), 358 nucleotides. The record is from Ensembl. NCBI's taxonomy places the organism in Eukaryota, Metazoa, Chordata, Actinopteri, Salmoniformes, Salmonidae.